Daphnia pulicaria is the source of this 782-nucleotide long non-coding RNA. RefSeq lists it as uncharacterized. The record is from RefSeq and is a predicted model, not a curated record. NCBI's taxonomy places the organism in Eukaryota, Metazoa, Arthropoda, Branchiopoda, Diplostraca, Daphniidae. The transcript has 4 exons.
UGCUUACAACACUGAUUGGAAACCACAUGUUGAAAACGUAUCGUUGGAUUGGAUACUAAAUUCGGCGUACUUUUCUUUCUUGACAUUUUUAUUCGUGAUAAUGGUAUUUAUCUGGUAACAGCCUAUGAUUUCUACAUGGCAAUUUCAUCUGAUCAUGUGGCCUGAGCAGCUGAACAUUUUGCCAAAAUGUCUCUUUUUCCUGUACCAGCUUCACGUUUGUCAGAAACAUUUCAGAGCAAUUCAGGAUUAACACCCUGGUGGAGUUUGAGCUUCUUUGUUGCUGCCUAACUUACACAUGGAUUUGACGCACCCAGCUGAGGGCUUUAACUCUUGUUUAGCGUUUAUAUUCGCGUAGUUGCUGUCCGAUGUGGCACGUUGUUGCAGCCUAUGCUGGUGAAAGAUCUUUCUACAUAAAGUUCAAUUGGCCGUUCCUUGGUGCUGAUGUUGUGUUACCAAAGUUGCAUCAUAUUUUGUUAAAUGUCAUCUUGACUAUUACAGUUUACCGUUUACAAGUUCAGAAGUAACAAAAACAAAUAUGGGGUGUUUAUGUCAAUAAAUAAUAAACAUGUUUCCGGGAUUGGGGAAGGAAAGUGGAGGAUGUUGGAGGGAGGAUAUUUAAAGUUAAGAUAACAAUUCAGUUAAUCUAUAACCCUACAAACAUUGCCGUACCAAUUAAUCUCCAAACCCCACAAACAUAUACCUUCUAAUCCUUCAAACCCCGAAAACAUCCACCUACCAACCCUUAAAUUUAUACCCUUAACCCUAUAAACCAAUUUAAACCC